Long non-coding RNA from Betta splendens (Siamese fighting fish), 1677 nucleotides. The record is from Ensembl. NCBI's taxonomy places the organism in Eukaryota, Metazoa, Chordata, Actinopteri, Anabantiformes, Osphronemidae.
CUUUGCAGACGCGGGGAAAGAGAGGAGGAAUGUGAAGCUGCGUUCCUCAGGAGCUGUGGACCAACUGUCUGCACCGCCUCAGUUCCCCAUGGACCACUGAGCAAAGGCAGCGAGGCAGUGAGGACCACCUCCUCCCGCUCUUUGUCCGUCCUCUUUCUGUCUGUUCUCACUUACGCCGCUGCUGCUUUUUCCUCCAUCGUCUCCUCCAUCGUACCCUCCAUCGUCCCCUCCAUUGUACCCUUCGUCGUCUCCUCCGUCGUCUCCUCCAUCGUCCCCUCCAUCGUCCCCUCCAUCGUCCCCUCCAUCGUCCCCUCCAUCGUCUCCUCCAUCGUACCCUUCAUCAUCUCCUCCGUCGUCUCCUCCAUCGUCUCCUCCAUCGUACCCUCCGUCGUACCCUUUGUCGUCCCCUCCGUCGUCUCCUCUGUCGUCUCUUCCAUCGUCUCCUCCGUCGUCUCCUUCGUUGUCCCCUUCAUCGUCUCAUCCGUCAUCCACUCCGUCGUCUCCUCCGUCAUCCACUCCGUCGUCUCCUCCGUCGUCUCCUCCGUCGUCUCCUCCAUCGUCCCCUCCGUCGUCUCCUCCAUCGUCCCCUCCGUCGUCUCCUCCGUCGUCUCCUCCGUCGUACCCUCCGUCGUCCCCUUCUUCGUCCCCUCUGUCGUCCCCUCCGUCGUCCCCUCCGUCGUACCCUUUGUCGUCUCCUCCGUCAUACCCUUCGUCGUUCCCUCCAUCGUCUCCUCCGUCGUCUCCUCCGUCGUCUCCUCCGUCGUCUCCUCCAUUGUCUCCUCCAUCUUACCCUCCGUCGUACCCUUUGUCGUACCCUUUGUCGUACCCUUUGUCGUCCCCUCCGUCGUCUCCUCCGUCGUCUCCUUCGUUUUCCCCUUCAUCGUCUCCUCCGUCAUCCACUCCGUCGUCUCCUCCGUCGUCUCCUCCGUCGUCUCCUCCGUCGUCUCCUCCAUCGUCCCCUCUGUCGUCUCCUCCAUCGUCCCCUCCGUCGUCCCCUCCGUCGUCUCCUCCGUCGUCCCCUCCGUCGUCUCCUCCGUCGUACCCUCCGUCGUCCCCUCCGUCGUCUCCUCCGUCGUACCCUCCGUCGUCCCCUCCGUCGUCCCCUCUGUCGUCCCCUCCGUCGUACCCUUUGUCGUCUCCUCCGUCGUCCCCUCCGUCGUCUCCUCCGUCGUCCCCUCUGUCGUACCCUUUGUCGUACCCUUUGUCGUCCCCUCCGUCGUCCCCUCCGUCGUCUCCUCCGUCGUCCCCUCCGUCGUCCCCUUCUUCGUCCCCUCCGUCGUCUCCUCCGUCGUCUCCUCCGUCGUCUCCUCCGUCGUCCCCUCCGUCGUCCCCUCCGUCGUCUCCUCCGUCGUACCCUCCGUCGUCCCCUUCUUCGUCCCCUCUGUCGUCCCCUCCGUCGUCCCCUCCGUCGUACCCUUUGUCGUCUCCUCCAUCGUCUCCUCCGUCGUCUCCUCCGUCGUCCCCUCCGUCGUCCCUUCUUCGUCUCCUCCGUCGUACCCUCCGUCGUCCCCUUCUUCGUCCCCUCUGUCGUCCCCUCCGUCGUCCCCUCCGUCGUACCCUUUGUCGUCUCCUCCAUCGUCUCCUCCGUCGUCUCCUCCAUCGUCCUCUCGGCUGCUCUCUGGCAUUCUUUCCAUGUCUUCGCUCUUUCACUCUUUCAUCCCUUUAACUGAUUUAUGA